UAUACAACUCUUUUGAAUUUCGUAUAAAAUUAAAAAUGGCAUCUAAUAUGUCAGAUAAAUAUGUGAUGUACUUCGUGAAAACAAUGAAAAAUGUUUUUUCUCUUUUCUUUAAUCUUUAAAAUUUCUGCACGAUAUAUUUUAAAAAGCGAAGUAUUUUCUUAAUUUCAAAAGAUGUUCUAUUUACAUAAAUUCUUUCCCUGCAACAAAAGGGAAAAUGUGCACGAAGUUGAGUAUAUACAAUCAGUGAUUGAAUAUUCAAACAAAUGUGUAAAUCAUCGACUGAAAAUGGAAUUAACUUAUAUGAAUUAUGGAAGAAAAUAAUGAAACAAGUAGAUAAUUUAGCCUGGAUUUAUUGUCACAACUUUUGUACAAAACAGCAAAAAUACUCUUAUAUUAGACCAUCAGAUAACAAACUCAAGUUCUUCAAAUAGACAAGAAAAUACUAUAUUACAAAAGGAAUAAUAUCUAAUAGUUGAGUUCUUUAAUACUUAUAACAAUAUAUUAAAAGUUUAUAAGGGAGAUACAAUUAAAAAGAAAUUUAUAUUUUAUAGAUAUGAAGUUGAUACUAUUUCAAAAGACUUUGGAUUAUGUAAUAUAAUUUUUGUAAUUUAAGAUUUUAGUGAUAUUCAAUAAGAUAAUAUUUUGCCUGUUUUACACAAUGAAUUUAACGUAAACACUAAGAUGGAAGCAAUGGUAAAUAUUAAUUAAUAUUUAUAAUUGUUAAAUUUUAAUUGUAGGUAAUGAUUACACAAACAAUAUCAAGUUUUAUAUUUGUUUGUCCACAUUCUUUAUAUAUAACUCCUUUUAUUUUGUGUGUGUGUGUGUGUGUAAAAUAUGGAAUUUGGACUUCGCUGCUCUAACUCCUGAACAAUUGAAUUUUCUUCUUUUAAAUGAUGAAGAUAUUUUAUUAGAAAUAUUCGGAAAAAUACAUAUCACCGAUUUCAAUUUGGAUGGAGAAUUAAAUGAUAUCUUUCGCCAAUAAAAAAAUUUUAACAGGUUUAGAAGGAUCUAAUACCACAAUGUAUAAAAUUGAGACAAAAAUAUCAGUAUUUUUUGAGCAUGGUAAUAUACCGAUAGGGGAUGAAAAGAGCAUCAUAUUUUUGGUAGAAGUCAAUCAAAGUUUUAACUAAUUAUAAUUGUUCAAUUUAUUAAUGUAAUACUUAUUUUUUCGAUGAAGAAUAUAGAACAGCAUAUAUGAAGUCAAUAUUACCAGAUAUAAUCAUAGAAUUUAUAAGAAUUAAUUUAUAAGAAUUGUGCCAGAAAAAAUAUAACUACCAAAAAUUGUAGAAGAAUCUUUUAUUUGUAAAAGAAAUUAUGGAAGAAACUUAUAUCAGUUGCUAAGUAAUAUAUUGAUAUUUG
Molecule: long non-coding RNA, 1359 nt
Organism: Vespa mandarinia (Asian giant hornet)
Lineage: Eukaryota; Metazoa; Arthropoda; Insecta; Hymenoptera; Vespidae
Source: RefSeq, a predicted model, not a curated record